Long non-coding RNA from Hibiscus syriacus, 870 nucleotides. RefSeq lists it as uncharacterized. The record is from RefSeq and is a predicted model, not a curated record. The transcript has 4 exons. NCBI's taxonomy places the organism in Eukaryota, Viridiplantae, Streptophyta, Magnoliopsida, Malvales, Malvaceae.
UUUCCACUGAAUUUCCUUUCCUUUUCGCAGUCGAAAGAAAAUCGGGCGAGUCAACUCUACCUACACGAUGUAUCGCCAAAUAUACGUCGCCGUCUACACAACUUAUAGAGAAAUCACAAGUCUCCACCGUCUCACUAUAAAAACAAGGCACUUGGAUUUCGAUUUCUCUCUGUUUUCUGUUUGUUGGUGAAGCGAUACAAUCCAUGUAUACCUUAUGGGUCGAGCCUUUUCUCUCUAACCUAUCUGAAUACGUUAAAGCAAAUGUGCCAGCAUGUAAUCAAGAACUAAACAGCGGGAUUACCGUAAAGCAGAGUAAUGGAAGCAUAGUCCAGGCAUCUCAAUCUCCAAACACUUCAAAUGCUCGAGUUUUGAAAAUAAGUCAGUCUAUUUUAUCCGAAACUGAACGAAAAGAGACGAAAAGGAAAAUUAAUCAGCAUAUCGCGGAAGAAUAAAGAAAAACAAAAUGCAAAUGCAAUUGGAUAUUGUGAACCUUAGAGGAGAAAAUGACUCUUUAAAGGUCGAGAAUCAGUCAUUAAAAGAGGAUAAUGCUUCCAUGAAACAAACCGUAGAACAGCAAGCAGCCAUGAUUGAUCAGUUGAGGAAUGAUCUUUUGCGGCUGAAGCACGACCAUAGAUGUUCUAGGCGAAACACUUGCACAGUAUCUAGGUGAUCUAUUGCGGCUCGAAAAUGGGAAACAAAGGAAGAAUGCGAAUCUUAAUAGUAAUGUACCACAGCUGUUGGCGGAGAACGCGAAUUUAAAACUUGAAAAUGAGGUACUCAGGGUUCAGAAUGAUGCUUUAUGUGGGAAGAUAGUGACAACGACAAGAAGGGAGCAAGAACCAUAAUCUGAAAUACUGUUUGAAGAUAUGU